Molecule: ribosomal RNA, 1125 nt
Filed under: Francisella tularensis subsp. novicida
Lineage: Bacteria; Pseudomonadati; Pseudomonadota; Gammaproteobacteria; Thiotrichales; Francisellaceae
Description: bacterial SSU rRNA
Rfam family: Bacterial small subunit ribosomal RNA
Source: RNAcentral
AGUUGGAAACGACUGUUAAUACCGCAUAAUAUCUGUGGAUUAAAGGUGGCUUUCGGGCUGUCGCAGAUGGAUGAGCCUGCGUUGGAUUAGCUAGUUGGUGGGGUAAGGGCCCACCAAGGCUACGAUCCAUAGCUGAUUUGAGAGGAUGAUCAGCCACAUUGGGACUGAGACACGGCCCAAACUCCUACGGGAGGCAGCAGUGGGGAAUAUUGGACAAUGGGGGCAACCCUGAUCCAGCAAUGCCAUGUGUGUGAAGAAGGCCCUAGGGUUGUAAAGCACUUUAGUUGGGGAGGAAAGCCUCAAGGUUAAUAGCCUUGGGGGAGGACGUUACCCAAAGAAUAAGCACCGGCUAACUCCGUGCCAGCAGCCGCGGUAAUACGGGGGGUGCAAGCGUUAAUCGGAAUUACUGGGCGUAAAGGGUCUGUAGGUGGUUUGUUAAGUCAGAUGUGAAAGCCCAGGGCUCAACCUUGGAACUGCAUUUGAUACUGGCAAACUAGAGUACGGUAGAGGAAUGGGGAAUUUCUGGUGUAGCGGUGAAAUGCGUAGAGAUCAGAAGGAACACCAAUGGCGAAGGCAACAUUCUGGACCGAUACUGACACUGAGGGACGAAAGCGUGGGGAUCAAACAGGAUUAGAUACCCUGGUAGUCCACGCUGUAAACGAUGAGUACUAGCUGUUGGAGUCGGUGUAAAGGCUCUAGUGGCGCAGCUAACGCGAUAAGUACUCCGCCUGGGGACUACGGCCGCAAGGCUAAAACUCAAAGGAAUUGACGGGGACCCGCACAAGCGGUGGAGCAUGUGGUUUAAUUCGAUGCAACGCGAAGAACCUUACCUGGUCUUGACAUCCUGCGAACUUUCUAGAGAUAGAUUGGUGCCUUCGGGAACGCAGUGACAGGUGCUGCACGGCUGUCGUCAGCUCGUGUUGUGAAAUGUUGGGUUAAGUCCCGCAACGAGCGCAACCCCUAUUGAUAGUUACCAUCAUUAAGUUGGGUACUCUAUUGAGACUGCCGCUGACAAGGCGGAGGAAGGUGGGGACGACGUCAAGUCAUCAUGGCCCUUACGACCAGGGCUACACACGUGCUACAAUGGGUAUUACAGAGGGCUGCGAAGGUGCGAGCUGGAGCGAA